This 460-nucleotide ribosomal RNA is filed under the name uncultured bacterium. Its description in RNAcentral is "partial 16S ribosomal RNA". It matches the Rfam family "Bacterial small subunit ribosomal RNA", at positions 338 to 795 of the family's 1533-position model. The record is from RNAcentral.
CCUACGGGAGGCAGCAGUGAGGAAUAUUGGUCGGUGGACGAGAGUCUGAACCAGCCAAGUAGCGUGAAGGAUGACUGCCCGAUGGGUUGUAAACUUCUUUUAUAUGGGAAUAAAAUGUUCCACGUGUGGGAUUUUGUAUGUACCAUAUGAAUAAGGAUCGGCUAACUCCGUGCCAGCAGCCGCGGUAAUACGGAGGAUACGAGCGUUAUCCGGAUUUAUUGGGUUUAAAGGGAGCGUAGGUGGAUUGUUAAGUCAGUUGUGAAAGUUUGCGGCUCAACCGUAAAAUUGCAGUUGAAACUGGCAGUCUUGAGUACAGUAGAGGUGGGCGGAAUUCGUGGUGUAGCGGUGAAAUGCUUAGAUAUCACGAAGAACUCCGAUUGCGAAGGCAGUUCACUGGACUGCAACUGACACUGAGGCUCGAAAGUGUGGGUAUCAAACAGGAUUAGAUACCCUUGUAGUC